Molecule: non-coding RNA, 1918 nt
Organism: Biomphalaria pfeifferi
Lineage: Eukaryota; Metazoa; Mollusca; Gastropoda; Planorbidae
Source: the annotation of a GenBank genome assembly
AUUAUUAAGAAACAAAUAACUUCAAUAACUUUAUUUAUCUAAAAAUUGUCAUCUUCAAAUGUGUCAAUACCAAUGUAUUCUUAAUAAUUUCUGGUCAGAGCCAAGCCUCUGACCUGCAUAAUGAAUUGAUAUUUACAAGCAGUGUAAUGAUAAACCAAACAAAGAAGAUCUAGAACCCUGGUGAGGGAGGGCCUGAAAUGGAGAAUAUUAUUGCUAGGUAAACAGUUUGUUAUCUGAUAGGAACCUAUCUUGGGAUUUCACAUUUUUUUUUUUGUACUAGAAUAUAAAAUUCUGUUUUUCUAGCUUUUUAAAAACCAUUUUCCUCUGAGUCCAGCCAUAAAUAAAAUGUUGAAUUUCUGAACGUGAGGGGGGACGCUGCCUUUGUUGUAUCAAUACUAGAUGAACUCAUGCAAUGUUAUUCUCUAAGGCACUUGUUCAUUUCAUAAGAGUUCAUGAAUCAAAACAUUGUUCAUAUAAGUCAAUAGAUCAACACAAUGAGCACAAGUGACAGCAGACUUUGAUUCACCUUGAUUUUUGACACAAUUUCUAAAACUCUUUGAUGAGUUCAAUGAAAAUACAAAAGGAAAGAACAUUGAAACAAAAAAAUUUAUGAAAAUGCAAAUUAACAAAUAAGUUUGAAAAAAAAAUUGUUUUCAAUGAGAAUAAGAAAGAAAGAAUGUAGGUAAGUCAAUUGUUCUAAAAGCUAAUUAGUAAUCUUUAAAAAAAAUCAAAUCCUACUUAAUGUUCAAUAUAGUAAACUGUAUUCAAAUGUUUGCCUAUUAACUUAGCUAACCACCCAUAAAACAAAUAGUCAAACAUAGAUAUUUUAGAUCUAGAUCUAUAAAUGACAUCUAAACUAAUUGAAAAUAAAAUGGCCAGCAAUUUUAUUUAAUUCAAUAGUUGAUGAAAUGAUUAUUCUGAAAUUUUCAUACAACGCAUCAUAAAUGAAUGUGUGAAAUUUCAACUUAAGAUAAUGAAUGGUUGUGGAAACAAAUGAUUCAACUUUCUAAUCAUCCCAUCCCAAUGAUUCACACAUACUAGUGGUAGAUAUUUCAUGAAACCUAAACAUCUUCUUGUUUAUACACUGUAUCAUUGUAAAAAUACAAAUUAACAGAAAGUUAAAACUAUAAUUAAUGUUAUGCUAUUUCAUUAUUUUAAAACAAAACAAAACAAAGAUUAUCACCUAUAACUAAAAAGUACAAAAACAUCAAAAAAAUAUUACAUUUCUUUAAACCUUAGUUGUAUUUCAAAGUAGAUGUGAUUUUGUACAAUUUGAAUUUUCAUCCAAUGUUUCAUUGUAAGACAGUAUAAGUUAGCUCUUCAAUUAUUAAAAAAAAAACCCCAUAAUGAACAGAUUGAUGUAGCAAUUCCUAUUGCUAUGAUAACUUUGGUCCAUGAAAUCUAGGCAAGAAGGGGCAUGAGGGAAUGGGAAUGAACAUUUCUCUCAAACUAAACUUCAAAUAGUAGAAAAAUAGUUUCUUAAGAGCUAAACAUAGAUCUAGAUACAAAACAUGUACAAAAUCUUCAGAGUCUUUAAAAUUAUGAAACAUAAUUUCUAAACAGUUUUGACUGCCUAACUAAAGUAAUCUUGUUUGAUACCCUGGUAAUCUGUAUUAUGCUUUAUACAAAUCUCAAGCUUUUUUGUUUAGUAUCAGAAGAAAAUAGGAGGGAUAUAUAUUUCUUCCCAUGAGUAGGUGUGGAUCCCAUAUAAAAGUGAAAGCUAUUUCAUGAAAUUACAUAAUUAUACACUGAAUUAGACAAUAUUAUUUUAAUAAGUUUAGAUUUCAUAUUAUGUAUAUUCAAUAUUACUUUUUAUACACAAUAUUUUUGUUAUUGAAAGUUUUAAGCUGUAUGGAAAUGAAACAUUGUGAAUUUGUGCGUUUUGUUGAAAGAUGAACAUUCAUGCUUUACAAUUCAG